UACGUAGGGGGCAAGCGUUGUCCGGAUUUAUUGGGCGUAAAGAGCGUGUAGGCGGCCACACAGGUCUGCUGUGAAAACUCGAGGCUCAACCUCGAGCUGUCGGUGGAAACCGUGUGGCUAGAGUCCGGAAGAGGAGAGUGGAAUUCCCGGUGUAGCGGUGAAAUGCGCAGAUAUCGGGAAGAACACCCGUGGCGAAGGCGGCUCUCUGGGACGGUACUGACGCUGAGGCACGAAAGUCAGGGGAGCAAACGGG
Molecule: ribosomal RNA, 253 nt
Filed under: uncultured bacterium
Lineage: Bacteria
Description: partial 16S ribosomal RNA
Rfam family: Bacterial small subunit ribosomal RNA
Source: RNAcentral